CGGUGUUGCAUAUUCUUAGACCCGAUCUUGUAGCAAGAACUGAGUAGUUCGUUAACUCGCUACGCGGUUCUUGUCACAAGACCGAGCCUGUGAAUAUGCAAAGGUGG
Molecule: microRNA precursor, 107 nt
Filed under: Oryza sativa (Asian cultivated rice)
Lineage: Eukaryota; Viridiplantae; Streptophyta; Magnoliopsida; Poales; Poaceae
Description: miR1861c stem-loop (osa-MIR1861c)
Rfam family: MIR1861 microRNA precursor family (bases 10-97)
Source: miRBase by way of RNAcentral